CCUACGGGUGGCAGCAGUGGGGAAUAUUGCACAAUGGGGGAAACCCUGAUGCAGCGAAGCCGCGUGAGUGAAGAAGUACUUCGUUAUGUAAAGCUCCAUCAGCAGGGAAGAAAAUGACGGUACCUGAGUAAGAAGCUCCGGCUCACUACGUUCCAGCAGCCGCGGUAAGACGUAGGGGGCAAGCGUUAUCCGGAUUUACGGGGUGUAAAGGGAGAGUAGACGGCAUUGCAAGUCUGGGGGGAAAGGCGGGGGCUCAACCCCCGGACUGCUGUGGAAACUGUACGGCUGGAGUGCAGGAGAGGUAAGUGGAAUUCGUAGUGUAGCGGUGAAAUGCGUAGAUAUUAGGAAGAACACCAGUGGCGAAGGCGGCUUACUGGACUGUAACUGACGUUGAGGCUCGAAAGCGUGGGGAGCAAACAGGAUUAGAUACCCCGGUAGUC
Molecule: ribosomal RNA, 440 nt
Filed under: uncultured bacterium
Lineage: Bacteria
Description: partial 16S ribosomal RNA
Rfam family: Bacterial small subunit ribosomal RNA
Source: RNAcentral